This is a long non-coding RNA of Oreochromis niloticus (Nile tilapia), 693 nucleotides long. RefSeq lists it as uncharacterized. The transcript is spliced from 4 exons. The record is from RefSeq and is a predicted model, not a curated record. Lineage: Eukaryota; Metazoa; Chordata; Actinopteri; Cichliformes; Cichlidae.
CACAAUAACACACACAGACUCAAUCACACCAGGUUACAGUAAAAAUGCUGUGGGACUCAACAGGAUGUGGCAGUGAUCAUACAUGAUAACACACAUUUAGUUGCAGAUAUUUGUUGUCUUAAAAAUAUAAAGUCUACAUGUACUCCAAGUUUGGACUGGAUGACUUUCUUUGUUGGCCACUUGGGGGCAGAAGAAACCAACAGUAUUCAUCUGGAGUCAUGUUUCUGCCCCUUUCAAACUUCAAGGCUGGCACUUCACUUUAAUGUUCGCUCGACUCCACCAGACGAUCUGAGACAUUGCAGAAGACAGCUUCAUUUAACAGAAUGUUACCAAGAUUAAAUGCUAACUGCUGUGUUUCCAGUAAGUUUCUGUGGCAACUUCAAUCAGCUCCCUGGGAACAUACCACAGAUGCAAUCAGCGCAGAGGUGAGAAGAGGUUGCAUUAAAAGCAGCGCUCAUCAAAGCAGAUUUGCCGGAAUACCUGCUGACUGCGUUGCCAAAAAUUCCUCGAAUAUUAUCCACUACAGACGCAUUGGGAAGAGUCCUUACAUCUGCCACGGUCUCUCCUUGCUGGAAAGAGGAGUCACAAAAACAGACAGCAAAUAGUUUAUUUGAAGAAAACUGCUUUGCGUGCUUGAGGGAGGCAUUUAAUUUAAAUGAAAAAUAAAGCACAUCUUACCUUUUUGACAGAGAA